This 2097-nucleotide long non-coding RNA is filed under the name Amphimedon queenslandica. RNAcentral describes it as "uncharacterized LOC109585111, transcript variant X1". The record is from RNAcentral. Lineage: Eukaryota; Metazoa; Porifera; Demospongiae; Haplosclerida; Niphatidae.
CUGGUGACUGUAAAAUCAACUCUACAAUAGUUGUAAAACCAGUCCUUCUUGUUCAGCCACUUAAAAAAGACACUACUGAAGUGGAAGAACUUGAAUUUGAUGAGCCAGAGGUACAUGUAGCCUGUAAACCAAGGACAAGGAAAAGAGUUAACACUUGGAGAUUGUUUCAACCCCAAGACAGAGAUGUACUCAUCAUUGGAUCAUUUGGUGAUUUUUCUAAACAGCACGUGUAUACUGUAGCACCUAAGAUUGUUCCCAGCCACUUAAAAGGAAAGGAGUGGAUGAGCAACGAAAUUGAAAGAAUCAAAGAUCUUUACGAAAAGUACAAUGAAAGGUUUGAGGUCUUUUUCUUGUCUCGUUACUCUCCUGGAGAAGAAAAAUCAAGACAGGAUUACAUUGAUAAAAUUAAAUCAAUAUUUGACACCAAGAAACACGAAGGAGCUGUCAUCUGGUACACUGGUCAUGGAGAGAAAGGUACUGGUAACUGGUGCUUCAAUGACGGCAUCAUUUCAUUUGAUGAUAUCUUCAAUCUCUACCGCAGCCACUACAUGGGCUCUUCACUGACGAUAGUCUCCGACUGUAGCUACUCAGGCCAAUGGAUUAAUGACUGGGCUAUGAAACUAGAUGAGUUUAAUAUACCAGCUUGUGGGCAUCAUGCUAGGAAGAAAAAAUUUCUAAUUAAAAUAAUUGCAUCUUGUCAGCAUAAUGAAGAAGCAACGGCCCUCUCAUUCAUAAGUGAGGGGGUGGAUUUUGAUGGAGACGAGAAGGGACUGAUGCAUUGCCAUGAUGGGAAGGUUUUAGAAUCAGGGCAAAGGUGUUUUGGGAUCAAUUUCAGAGUUAUUUGUUGUCGUAAAGGAAGUCACGGAACUUUUGAAAUUGAUAGCAGUUGUUCGUCUAAAAUUCACCUGGACAGAAUGUAUAUCGGGUAGUUCAGAACUUGUUUAUAUUGUUACUGGAGAAAAUGAAGAUCACAAGAACGUGUGGCACUGCCUGCUAUUUGAUAGGAAGAAACUGAAUGUGUUUAAAGGAGCAGUUAGCACAGCAGAGACCAUUGAUGUUAGUUCUUAUGGGGAAAUUCUUCAUUCUGGCAUUGGACAUGAGCCACCAGUAUGGUUGCACAGGAACUUAGAAUUAAGAUUUGUGAAGUGUCCUACUGAUAUGAUGGAUUUAAGAGAAAGUUGAUGUCUUCAUGGAAGCUAGCCAUUCAAGAAUUCUUUUUCAAAAGGUCCAUUCACGAACUCAUUUAUGGUAUUUGCUUAUGCAGCACCCCAGGCCGUAAUUAAUUGGGCAUGCAGGUGAGGGGUACUGAGGGCACUUGAUGAAGCAUGGAAGUCUCUUUCAAUACUUUCUGAGCGAAACAACAUAUGACUCUGCUGCAGUGGUGAUACCUAAAGCUACAAAGAAGGCAGCAGUCUCUUCUCUUCCUAAACCUCAGCUUUUCUUGGCCAGUCACGAUCCUAAAAUGAAUUGUUUUCUGUCUGAAGUGAGGAAAGUGCCCAUUCACAUAGUGAUGCAUUUAACAGUCAAUCGUCUCAUCAAAAGUUAAUGAUAGCAGUACAGGAUAAUUUUGCAUACAGGAUGGUUGUGCCAAAGGGAUUUGGCAUUAAAUCCUCAGGUACAAAAACACUGAUUAUGCAUGCAUGCUUUUAUGACAUUUGUGUUUUAUUUCAUUUUACGUGGAAAAGCCCGAACCUUUAGUAGUAACAUCAAACACUUCAAUCAAUUCAAGCACUAUUGUUAUGUCUACUAAGUCUCCUGAAGGUCUCCCUAAAGAACCUGGAUCCAAAACCUUUCUUGAUUUCAAUAGAAGUACAUUGGCUAGCUAUGAUAUAAAAAGGUAGUAGAUUUACUGGUAGAGAUGAGGUUGGAACAAUAUGCUGAGACAUUUCAGAGGAAGCAAAUUGAUGGUAAGAUACUGAUUGAAUUAGAUGAAAGUAUACUUAAGGAAGAGCUGGGAAUAACUAAGAGGAUACAUCGGUUAAAACUAUUGAACAUUAUUAAUGGUGAUCAAUGUGUUUCAGUUUAUGUUUAAUAGAUUGUUUUUAUUUUUGUACACACACACAUGUAGUUAUAUAAACAGUAAGUUAAUUGACUGUA